This 66-nucleotide transfer RNA is filed under the name Sinodasynus sp. RNAcentral describes it as "tRNA-Thr". It matches the Rfam family "tRNA". From Rfam's summary of the family: Transfer RNA (tRNA) molecules are approximately 80 nucleotides in length. Their secondary structure includes four short double-helical elements and three loops (D, anti-codon, and T loops). The record is from RNAcentral. Lineage: Eukaryota; Metazoa; Arthropoda; Insecta; Hemiptera; Coreidae.
GUUUUAAUAGUUUAAGAUAAAAUAAUGAUCUUGUAAAUCAUAGAUAGGAAAAUAACCUUUAAAACU